CUCACGUGAGCCUGGAUUCUGCCC
RNAcentral lists this microRNA (24 nucleotides) under Equus caballus (horse). RNAcentral describes it as "eca-miR-9173". Lineage: Eukaryota; Metazoa; Chordata; Mammalia; Perissodactyla; Equidae. The record is from miRBase by way of RNAcentral.